CAUAAAUCAUUUUUCCCCAACAGAUGCAUUUAUAAAAAACGUUUUGUUCUGAGCCAGAGCAACCUCACAGAAUCAUUAAGACAACAUAAAAUGGAGUACCAAUCUGCUCUAGUUGGUGCUGGGGACUGAAUCUUGGACUUCUCUCAGUAUUUCAGACCACAGCCUGGAAGAUGGCACAUUGGAUAAAGUACUGGACUCACAAGUAUGAAAUCCUAUGCUUUAAUUCCAAUAUCACAUAUGCCAGAGUGAUGUUCUUGUAUUCUCUAUCAUUAAUAAGAAUAAAUCUUUAAAGAAAAAAAAGUUAUUGGUGGCGUCAAAGGUUAUU
Erinaceus europaeus (western European hedgehog) is the source of this 325-nucleotide long non-coding RNA. RefSeq lists it as uncharacterized. The transcript has 3 exons. The record is from RefSeq and is a predicted model, not a curated record. NCBI's taxonomy places the organism in Eukaryota, Metazoa, Chordata, Mammalia, Eulipotyphla, Erinaceidae.